GACUACAUGAAGCUGGAAUCGCUAGUAAUCGCAGGUCAGCAUACUGCGGUGAAUACGUUCCCGGGUCCUUGUACACACCGCCCGUCACACCAUGGGAGCCGGAAAUGCCCGAAGCCAGUGACCCAACCUUAGGGAGGGAGCUGUCGAAGGUGGAGCCGGUAACUGGGGUGAAGUCGUAACAAGGUACC
Molecule: ribosomal RNA, 188 nt
Filed under: uncultured bacterium
Lineage: Bacteria
Description: partial 16S ribosomal RNA
Rfam family: Bacterial small subunit ribosomal RNA
Source: RNAcentral